This 442-nucleotide ribosomal RNA is filed under the name uncultured prokaryote. RNAcentral describes it as "bacterial SSU rRNA". It matches the Rfam family "Bacterial small subunit ribosomal RNA", at positions 355 to 796 of the family's 1533-position model. The record is from RNAcentral.
UCGAGAAUCUUUGUCAAUGGACGAAAGUCUGAACAAGCGACGCCGCGUGCGGGAUGAAGGCCUUCGGGUUGUAAACCGCUGUCAGUUGGGAGGAAGGCUCCGUGAAGAGCGGAGUUUGACCGAUCUUCAGAGGAAGUACGGGCUAAGUUCGUGCCAGCAGCCGCGGUAAGACGAACCGUACAAACGUUAUUCGGAAUCACUGGGCUUAAAGGGUGCGUAGGCGGCAGGGAAAGUUGGGUGUGAAAUCCCACGGCUCAACCGUGGAACUGCGCUCAAAACUGCCUUGCUUGAGGGAGAUAGAGGUGAGCGGAACUGAAGGUGGAGCGGUGAAAUGCGUUGAUAUCUUCAGGAACACCCGUGGCGAAAGCGGCUCACUGGAUCUCUUCUGACGCUGAGGCACGAAAGCUAGGGUAGCGAACGGGAUUAGAUACCCCCGUAGUCC